UACGUAGGGUGCGAGCGUUGUCCGGAAUUAUUGGGCGUAAAGAGCUUGUAGGCGGUCUGUCGCGUCUGCUGUGAAAAUCCGGGGCUCAACCCCGGACUUGCAGUGGGUACGGGCAGACUAGAGUGUGGUAGGGGAGACUGGAAUUCCUGGUGUAGCGGUGAAAUGCGCAGAUAUCAGGAGGAACACCGAUGGCGAAGGCAGGUCUCUGGAACGGUACUGACGCUGAGGCGCGAAAGCGUGGGGAGCGAACAGG
This 253-nucleotide ribosomal RNA is filed under the name uncultured bacterium. Its description in RNAcentral is "partial 16S ribosomal RNA". It matches the Rfam family "Bacterial small subunit ribosomal RNA", at positions 524 to 776 of the family's 1533-position model. The record is from RNAcentral.